Oncorhynchus tshawytscha (Chinook salmon) is the source of this 316-nucleotide long non-coding RNA. The record is from Ensembl. Lineage: Eukaryota; Metazoa; Chordata; Actinopteri; Salmoniformes; Salmonidae.
CCCCCAUCUCUAGAGACACAGCUUCACCCCAUCUCUCCAGACACAGUUUCAUCCCCCAUCUCUAGAGACACAGUUUCACCCCAUCUCUCCAGACACAGUUUCAUCCCCCAUCUCUAGAGACACAGUUUCACCCCAUCUCUCUAGACACAUUUCAUCACCCCAUCUCUAGAGACACAGUUUCAUCCCCCAUCUCUAGAGACAGUUUCACCCCAUCUCUCCAGACACAGUUUCAUCCCCACAUCUCUAGAGACACAGUUACACCCCAUCUCUCUAGACACAGUUUCAUCCCCCAUCUCUAGAGACACAGCUUCACCCC